AGGUAAGGGUGAAAAGGUGAGGUAAGAGCUCACCGGAUGUCGUGGUGACACGUCAUGCCGCACAUCCUAUGGGUUGCAAGGCCAAAUACACCGGCAAUCAAGGAUUGCUCGUCCAUUGCCGGGGGGUAGGCUGCUCGGCGCGAAAGCGCCGGAGCCGGCUGGCAACAGUCGGUCAAGAUAAAUGACAGACGGGACUUACCUUAAGGCAAGUCCUACAUAACCCGGCUUAUAUCGCUUCUGCAUUC
This 245-nucleotide RNase P RNA is filed under the name Muribaculaceae bacterium. RNAcentral describes it as "partial RNase P RNA component class A". It matches the Rfam family "Bacterial RNase P class A", at positions 146 to 367 of the family's 367-position model. Rfam says of the family: Ribonuclease P (RNase P) is a ubiquitous endoribonuclease, found in archaea, bacteria and eukarya as well as chloroplasts and mitochondria. Its best characterised activity is the generation of mature 5'-ends of tRNAs by cleaving the 5'-leader elements of precursor-tRNAs. Cellular RNase Ps are ribonucleoproteins. The record is from RNAcentral. Lineage: Bacteria; Pseudomonadati; Bacteroidota; Bacteroidia; Bacteroidales; Muribaculaceae.